Malus domestica (apple) is the source of this 447-nucleotide non-coding RNA. The record is from RefSeq and is a predicted model, not a curated record. Lineage: Eukaryota; Viridiplantae; Streptophyta; Magnoliopsida; Rosales; Rosaceae.
AAUCAUUGGAGAUGAGCUAAGUUUGGAUCAGUUUCUAAUUAUUCUGUUCCUAUUUCCAAUUCCAAUUCCGGUUACUGCCUCUCCAUAUAACCAAACAGUCCGACUAGUGAGAAAUAUUUCUCCGAAUUUCCUGCCAAACAAGCCAUCCCCCAUAAAAACUCAGACCCUGAAAGAUAAUCCUCCUACACACUCCAUCUCUCUCUCUCUAUCUCUCCCCUCCGUUUACCAUAGUUCCUGAUCUCUGAAAUUCUCCAACCAUGGCUCACCCGGCCGAAUCGUCCGACUCGAAGAAGAAGGACUUCUCGACGGCGAUUUUGGAGCGGAAGAAGUCGCCGAACCGUCUCGUCGUUGAUGAAGCUCUAAACGACGAUAACUCCGUCGUUUCAAUGCAUCCCGAAACCAUGGAAAAGCUCCAGCUUUUCCGCGGUGACACUAUCCUCAUCAAGG